UGUCCGAGCGUCAUUACAACCCUCAAGCUCAGCUUGGUAUUGGGCCCCGCCGCUUCGGCGGGCCCUAAAGUCAGUGGCGGUGCGUCCGGCUCCGAGCGUAGUAAUUCUUCUCGCUCUGGAGGUCCGGUCGUGUGCUCGCCAGCAACCCCCAAUUUUUUCAGGUUGACCUCGGAUCAGGUAGGGAUACCCGCUGAACUUAA
Molecule: unclassified non-coding RNA, 200 nt
Filed under: soil metagenome
Description: partial contains internal transcribed spacer 2 and large subunit ribosomal RNA
Source: RNAcentral